AUGACGUCAGCGUCAACCGUGAGCGCGACGAUGGGGGUAAUGAACCCGCUCCUCAGCAAGCUCGCCACGCUGAUGGGGGACCAGUACAGGAAGCUCAAGGGGGUGAGGAAGCAGGCGUCGUUCCUCAUGCGUGAGCUCGGCGCCAUGAGAGCUGCCCUCGAGAAGCUGGAGCUCAUGGAGGUACUCGAUCCGCUGGCCAAGAACUGGAGAGAUCAUGUCAGAGAGAUGUCCUACGACAUGGAGAAUUGUAUCGAUGAUUUCAUGCGCCAAUUCGGAGGUGCCGAUGCUAAGGCCGGCCUCAUCAAGAAAACAGCUCAACGUCUCAAGACGUUGAGGGAGCGUCAUCGCAUUGCUGAGCAGAUGGAGGAGCUCAAGGCUCUUGCUCUGGAGGCAAAUGAACGACGCAUGAGGUACAAGAUUGACGAUUGUGUUGAUUAUAGCUCCACUGUUGUGCCUGUCGAUCCCCGAAUAUCUGCAAUCUACAAGGAGGCUGCAGGCCUUGUGGGUAUUGAUGGCCCCAGAGAAGAGCUUGUCAGUUGGUUGAUUGAUGCUGAGAAAAAACUCAAGGUAGUGUCCGUUGUAGGGUUCGGCGGCCUUGGUAAAACUACACUUGCCAAGCAAGUGUACAAUAAGAUUGGUGGGCAAUUUGAGCGUAAGGCAUUUGUUUCAGUUUCCCAAAGGCCUGAUAUGACAAGCCUUCUAUGUGGCCUGCAACUAAAGCUCGGAAUGGAGGAGUCUUCUCACAUUCAUGAGGUGCAAGACAUAAUCGACCGUGUUAGAGAACAUCUCAUGCAUAAGAGGUACCUUAUUGUAGUCGAUGACUUGUGGGAUCAGUCGGCAUGGAAUAUUAUUAGUUGUGCCUUUCCUGAAGAUGGUAAUGGAAGUAGAGUAAUCGUAACCACACGACUGGGUGAUGUGGCUUUCCGUGCGUGUCUCCAUGACCGUGAGUGCAUUUACCAAAUGAAUCCCCUCCAAGAGCAAGACUCAAGAAGUUUAUUCUAUAAUAGAGUAUUUGGGUCUGAAGAUGGCUGUCCACCACAAUUUAAAGAAGUUUCAGCUGAAAUUUUGAAGAAGUGUGGUGGACUGCCGCUUGCAAUCAUCACUAUUGCUAGCUUAUUAGCUAGUCGUCAAGCAAGAUCAAGGAGUGAGUGGGAGAGCAUAAGGGAUUCACUGAGCGCCAAGUUUGCCACAAAGCCCACCUUGGAAGAGAUGAGGAGUAUAUUAAACCUGAGCUACAUGCAUCUUCCUCUUUAUCUCCGUGCAUGUUUUUUGUACCUUGGUAUGUAUCCAGAGGACCGUAAGAUUAGCAAGGUUGAUCUGGUCCGACAAUGGGUGGCUGAAGGGCUUGUCAGUAAUUUACAUGGAUCAAAUUUGGAGGAUGCUGCAAAGAGUUACUUCCAUGAGCUUAUCAAUAGGGGCAUGAUUCAGCCUGAAGAUACCAUAUGUGGGGAGGUGUUGUCAUGUAGUAUUCAUGAUAUGAUGCUUGAUCUGAUCUUAAGCAAGUGUGGGGAAGAUAAUUUUAUCUGUGUGGCAUAUGACUACAAAGACAUGGCACAACGUGAUGCCUGCAACUACAGGGUCCGUCGACUAUCUCUGAAAUUAAGUGCUGGUAGCGCAACAUCGGGGACCAUUGCUACUAGCUUAACACAAAUUCGAUCAUUUGCAUGGUUUGGCGAGUCCAAGUACACACCUCCUCUCUCGGAGUUUAAGUAUCUACGUGUGCUUCUCUUUGAAUUUCCAGAUUACCGGGAGAUGGUAGUCGACCUCACUGCUGCUGGCCAGUUGUUUCAACUUAGGUAUUUGAAGGUUUCAGCAGCAUCAGGCAGCAUAGAGCUUCCUACUGAAAUCCAUGGGCUUGUUCAUUUGGAGACAAUUGAUAUAGAUUGCCGAACAGCACAAAACAUCCCGUCAGAUAUAGUCAUGUUGCACCGCUUGUCCCAUUUGAUUCUUCCGCGUGAUACAGGACUCCCAAAUGGGAUUGGGAACAUGAAAUCGCUACGUACUCUACGUUGUUAUUGCAUGGGCAAGAGCUCAUUGGAUGAUAUUGAGGGCCUCGGCGAGCUCACUAAUCUGAGGGAACUGACACUCACUAAGUCCUACAAGUUUGAUAUGCUGAAGGCAGGGGUUGAUGCCUUGGUCUCCUCCAUUGGAAAGCUCUGUGACCUCAAAUUUCUCUACCUUGCCUGCAAUCUUCAACAUUAUGUCGACCUGCUGGACUCAAUAUCUGAUCCUCCCCUCCGUAUGGAGAAUCUACGUCUGGGAGGAUGGCCAUUCUACAAGGUUCCAAAAUGGAUUGGUGAUCUUCAUUGCCUCCAUAGACUGUCUCUGUGUGUUGAGCGGUUGCGGACUGACGGUGUUCAUGUUCUUGGGCAGCUGCCAUCCCUCGUGUAUCUCAGUCUCAAGGUCUUGUGUAUUCCUCAAGACAGUGCUGUCAUAAUCUGUACAGGAUCAUUCCCAGUUCUGGAGUGUCUUGCUCUCAGGUCUCGUGAUGAUGAUGCAACGGCAUGCAUGGGGUUUGAGGCAGGGGCUAUGCCCAAGCUUCGAAGGCUCGUUCUAGGAGUACAUGAUAGGUGGAGUGGUGGCAGUGCUAUACCAGUGGGUAUGGUGCACCUCUUAUCCCUCGAGCAAAUCCAUGUAGAUAACAUGUCAUCCGUCCAUGACGACCGUGAUGUCGAGUUUGCCUUCAGGAACGCCGCACAGGGAGCAUGGACCAUUGCAUUGAAGCAUUGGAGAACGGGAGCAGCUAGGAAUUGGUCGUCCGCGACGGCGACCUCACCCAACCGGUUUGUCUCCGGCUGUCGUUGCCCUUCCAGAUGA
This 2817-nucleotide ribosomal RNA is filed under the name Triticum aestivum (bread wheat). RNAcentral's name for it is "partial small subunit ribosomal RNA". The record is from RNAcentral. Lineage: Eukaryota; Viridiplantae; Streptophyta; Magnoliopsida; Poales; Poaceae.